CCUACGGGAGGCAGCAGUGGGGAAUAUUGCACAAUGGGCGCGAGCCUGAACCAGCCAAGUCGCGUGAGGGAUGACGGUCCUACGGAUUGUAAACCUCUUUUGCCGGGGAGCAAGCGUUCGUUCGUGAACGCACGGCGAGAGUACCCGGAGAAUAAGCAUCGGCUAACUCCGUGCCAGCAGCCGCGGUAAUACGGAGGAUGCGAGAGUUAUCCGGAUGUAGUGGGUUUAAAGGGUGCGUAGGCGGGAUGCGAAGUCAGAGGUAAAAAUGCGGUGCUAAACCUCGUCGAGCCGGUGAAACUGGCGUUCUUGAGUGGGGUAGAAGUAUGCGGAAUGCGUGGUGUAGGCGGGAAAUGCAUAGAUA
RNAcentral lists this ribosomal RNA (361 nucleotides) under uncultured bacterium. RNAcentral describes it as "partial 16S ribosomal RNA". It matches the Rfam family "Bacterial small subunit ribosomal RNA", at positions 338 to 696 of the family's 1533-position model. The record is from RNAcentral.